CUCUUCCAAUCCAGUAUUUGCACAUUUAAGAAGCACGUUUGAAUUAAUGUCAUUUUAAUGACAGUUGACAACAUGUAGGAUUUGGAGAAAAUACUUAUUGGAUAAAAAAAAAAAUUCAGCACAAGAAAGGGCAUGACCAAAAUGUUUUCAUAAUUAAAAUGAGAUGCAAUAGGUCCAAAGUCAUAAAAUGUACAUUUACACUUGACCGAAUCAAAAGUACCGGAGGAAAAAAGAUAAUGUAAAUGUAUAAUGUGCACAUUUCAGCUUUAAGACAGUAAAUGAGACUGGUCAUGGGGUAGAGGUAGGCAUGUCAGUGGUGAUGCCACAGAUGUUCUGGUUACUGUCAUGGAUCACCGGUAGGUGGAGCCUGCACACAGCUUCUGUUGCCAUUUGUGAAAUGUUUACUUUGUCUGUGUAAUAAGAAGAGGAAGACGAUCAGCACUGACUGAUCACCUGAGUCAAAAGGAUGACAAAAUAGAAGGCAGCAUGUUCCUUUAGAACCCCAGAACGAAAGGUACAGGUCAUGAAUGAGGUUGGCUGGAAAACCCAGUAUGGAAAAAAAAUCACUCCUGAAGUGUGUGUGUGUGUGUGAGUAAGUGAGUGAGU
Long non-coding RNA from Thalassophryne amazonica, 606 nucleotides. RefSeq lists it as uncharacterized. The transcript has 3 exons. NCBI's taxonomy places the organism in Eukaryota, Metazoa, Chordata, Actinopteri, Batrachoidiformes, Batrachoididae. The record is from RefSeq and is a predicted model, not a curated record.